This 568-nucleotide ribosomal RNA is filed under the name uncultured bacterium. RNAcentral's name for it is "bacterial SSU rRNA". It matches the Rfam family "Bacterial small subunit ribosomal RNA", at positions 13 to 597 of the family's 1533-position model. The record is from RNAcentral.
UUGAUCAUGGCUCAGGAUGAACGCUGGCGGCGUGCCUAACACAUGCAAGUCGAACGAGAAAGCUAUCUUCGGAAAGCGAGUACAGUGGCGAACGGGUGAGUAACACGUUGGUGACCUGCCCCGAGGUGGGGGACAACCAUGGGAAACCAUGGCUAAUACCCCAGAUGUUGAGGAGUCUAGACGUCCUUAACUAAAGUUCCGACGCCUCGGGAUGGGCCUGCGGGCUAUCAGCUUGUUGGUGAGGUAAUGGCUCACCAAGGCUAAGACGGCUAGGGGGCGUGAGAGCGCGAUCCCCCACAAUGGGACUGAGACACGGCCCAUACUCCUACGGGAGGCAGCAGUGAGGAAUAUUGCACAAUGGGGGCAACCCUGAUGCAGCAACGCCGCGUGAACGAUGAAGGCCUUCGGGUCGUAAAGUUCUUUUCUGAGGGACGAUAAUGACGGUACCUCAGGAAUAAGUCCCGGCUAACUACGUGCCAGCAGCCGCGGUAAAACGUAGGGGGCGAGCGUUAUCCGGAUUUAUUUGGGCGUAAAGCGCACGUAGGCGGCGCGGUAAAGUUGGACGUGA